GAUGAACGCUGGCGGCGUGCUUAACACAUGCAAGUCGAACGAAGCAUUUGCGACAGAUUUUUUCGGAAUGAAGUUGCUUAUGACUGAGUGGCGGACGGGUGAGUAACGCGUGGGUAACCUGCCUUGUACUGGGGGAUAGCAGCUGGAAACGGCUGGUAAUACCGCAUAAGCGCACAAUGUUGCAUGACAUGGUGUGAAAAACUCCGGUGGUAUAAGAUGGACCCGCGUCUGAUUAGCUAGUUGGUGAGAUAACAGCCCACCAAGGCGACGAUCAGUAGCCGACCUGAGAGGGUGACCGGCCACAUUGGGACUGAGACACGGCCCAGACUCCUACGGGAGGCAGCAGUGGGGAAUAUUGCACAAUGGAGGAAACUCUGAUGCAGCGACGCCGCGUGAGUGAAGAAGUAAUUCGUUAUGUAAAGCUCUAUCAGCAGGGAAGAUAGUGACGGUACCUGACUAAGAAGCUCCGGCUAAAUACAUG
RNAcentral lists this ribosomal RNA (481 nucleotides) under uncultured bacterium. RNAcentral describes it as "partial 16S ribosomal RNA". It matches the Rfam family "Bacterial small subunit ribosomal RNA", at positions 28 to 507 of the family's 1533-position model. The record is from RNAcentral.